RNAcentral lists this ribosomal RNA (711 nucleotides) under Pristimantis morlaco. Its description in RNAcentral is "partial 12S small subunit ribosomal RNA". The record is from RNAcentral. Lineage: Eukaryota; Metazoa; Chordata; Amphibia; Anura; Strabomantidae.
AGGAUAAGGAGCUGAUAUCAGGCACAAACUUGCCCAAAACAUCUAGCCACGCCACACCCAUAAGGGUUCUCAGCAGUGAUUAACAUUAAGAAUAAACGUCAGUUUGACUUAGUCAAAUGAAUAGAGUCGGCCAAUCUGGUGCCAGCCGCCGCGGUUACACCACGUGACUCAAAUUGAUUUUAAUGCGGCGUAAAGCGUGAUUAAAGAGAUACCUCCUGGGGUUAAACUUAAAUUAAGCUGUCGCACGAUUAUUCUUAAGAAAUCCUAUAUCGAAAGAUACCCCAACUCACCCACUUGAACUCACAACAACUAGAACACAAACUGGGAUUAGAUACCCCACUAUGCCUAGUCGUAAACUUUUACUUACAUCUCAUCGCCAGGGGACUACGAGCAAAGCUUAAAACCCAAAGGACUUGACGGUACCCCACAUCCUUCUAGAGGAGCCUGUCCUAUAAUCGAUACUCCCCGUUCAACCUCACCAUUUUUAGCCUAUCAGCCUGUAUACUUCCGUCGUCAGCUUACCGCAUGAGCGAAUUAGUAAGCAUAAAGUUAUUUAUCAAUACGUCAGGUCAAAGUGCAGCAUAUAAAGUGGCAAGAGAUGGGCUACACUCUCUAUCAUARAAAACUACGAAAAAUUAUGUGAAACCAUACUCAGAAGGCGGAUUUAGUAGUAAGGGGGGACUARAAUGCCCCCCUUAACCUGGCACUGGG